GGUUCCGUAGUGUAGUGGUUAUCACGUUCGCUUCACACGCGAAGGUCUCCGGUUCGAUCCCGGACGGAACCA
Non-coding RNA from Trichonephila inaurata madagascariensis, 72 nucleotides. The record is from the annotation of a GenBank genome assembly. NCBI's taxonomy places the organism in Eukaryota, Metazoa, Arthropoda, Arachnida, Araneae, Nephilidae.